GAAAGGAAUUAGUGGUUUCCUAUUGACCAAGUCAUAUUUAUACGGAUGAUAAAGACGUUGGAGUACACCAUAUUAUAGCUAUAACAAGAGGAUUUAAAGGAAGAGGAUCGAAAAUGCAAUUGUUUGGAACGAUUCGACAAAGAAAAAUCUUGGCCUAACUCAAUUUUAAAAGUUAGCUAUAAGAAAAGUUUGUUCAAAAUCAUCUAAAAAGACCAAUAUCUAAUCCACUAUCGAUAUAAGACUUCUUAACCAUUUCAAUGUUAUCAUUGUCUCGAUCAGAAGUUAUAUGUCAUACCAUGGUGCAUUGUAUAUCAGAUCCAUCAACUGAAUAAUCCUCAAGGGGAGAAUGGGAGCACCAUCAUCAUCACCUGAACAUGGGCACAAAGACGAAGGGACGGACCCACACUAUAUGGAUAGAGCGGAGAUGCACUCGUUAAUUUUUGAAAAAAUCAUAUGUAUAUAUGUGUAUCUAUUUU
Solanum lycopersicum (tomato) is the source of this 476-nucleotide non-coding RNA. NCBI's taxonomy places the organism in Eukaryota, Viridiplantae, Streptophyta, Magnoliopsida, Solanales, Solanaceae. The record is from RefSeq and is a predicted model, not a curated record.